RNAcentral lists this unclassified non-coding RNA (378 nucleotides) under plant metagenome. RNAcentral's name for it is "partial contains 5.8S ribosomal RNA, internal transcribed spacer 2, and large subunit ribosomal RNA". The stretch from base 1 to 105 matches the Rfam family "5.8S ribosomal RNA", at positions 50 to 154 of the family's 154-position model. The record is from RNAcentral.
GAAAUGCGAUAAGUAAUGUGAAUUGCAGAAUUCAGUGAAUCAUCGAAUCUUUGAACGCACCUUGCGCUCCUUGGUAUUCCUUGGAGCAUGCCUGUUUGAGUAUCAUGAAAUCUUCAAAGUAAAUCUUUUGUUAACUCAAUUGGUUUCUACUUUGGUAUUGGAGGUCUUUGCAGCUUCACACCUGCUCCUCUUUGUUCAUUAGCUGGAUCUCAGUGUUAUGCUUGGUUCCACUCGGCGUGAUAAGUUAUCUAUCGCUGAGGACACUGUAAAAGGUGGCCAAGGUAAAUGCAGAUGAACCGCUUCUAAUAGUCCAUUGACUUGGACAAUACUUUUAUGAUCUGAUCUCAAAUCAGGUAGGAAUACCCGCAGAACUUAAGC